Molecule: non-coding RNA, 319 nt
Organism: Cinara cedri
Lineage: Eukaryota; Metazoa; Arthropoda; Insecta; Hemiptera; Aphididae
Source: the annotation of a GenBank genome assembly
CUAGUCUCCUAUUAUAUGUAUGAUAUAAAUUAUGGUAGGUACAAGGUAUAGUUAAUAGUAGCAUACAAUUAACAGAGUUAAAAUUUUAACUAGUAUAUAAAAAAAUUGUUUGUAUUAUAAAUUAAAAAGCAAAUAAAAGAAAAAUAGCAAACAUAAUAAAACAAGAUCUGAUACUGCGGACGGUUGCGCCUACUGUAGGUGGGCAGUGGGAAAUGCGGAAUACAUGGAAUUAUUUAAUUUAUACCCGUGACCAAUGAUAAACCAUUGACAAUGAAAAAUAAUUUGGAGCGAAGUUCGGUUAUACAUAUUUUGAAAGGCA